GAUGAAGAACGCAGCGAACGUGCGAAGCGUAAUGUGAAUUGCAGAAUUCAGUGAAUCAUCGAAUCUUUGAACGCAUCUUGCGCUCCUUGGUAUUCCGAGGAGCAUGCCUGUUUGAGUGUCGUGAAUACUCUCAACUUCAACCCUUUUUUCGGAAAGGGAGGAAGGUUGGACUUGGGUGUUUGUUGAAGUGCGAGCUUCGACUCAUCCUAAAUGCAUUAGCGAUCUGCCUCGAUCACACACAAUGUGAUAAUUAAAACUAAAGCAUUGUUUAAUGAUCAAGUCGAGACUGCUUCUAACUGUCGCAAGACAAUAACGUGCAUACAUUUGUGCAUGUCAUUUGACCUCAAAUCAGGUAGGACUACCCGCUGAACUUAAGCAUAUCAAUAAGCGGAGGA
RNAcentral lists this unclassified non-coding RNA (395 nucleotides) under soil metagenome. RNAcentral's name for it is "partial contains 5.8S ribosomal RNA, internal transcribed spacer 2, and large subunit ribosomal RNA". The stretch from base 1 to 121 matches the Rfam family "5.8S ribosomal RNA", at positions 35 to 154 of the family's 154-position model. The record is from RNAcentral.